RNAcentral lists this ribosomal RNA (538 nucleotides) under fungal sp. 4221C2e. RNAcentral's name for it is "eukaryotic LSU rRNA". The stretch from base 176 to 329 matches the Rfam family "5.8S ribosomal RNA". The record is from RNAcentral. Lineage: Eukaryota; Fungi.
ACAAGGUUUCCGUAGGUGAACCUGCGGAAGGAUCAUUACCGAGUUUUCGGGCUUCGGCUCGACUCUCCCACCCUUUGUGAACGUACCUCUGUUGCUUUGGCGGCUCCGGCCGCCAAAGGACCUCCAAACUCCAGUCAGUAAACGCAGACGUCUGAUAAACAAGUUAAUAAACUAAAACUUUCAACAACGGAUCUCUUGGUUCUGGCAUCGAUGAAGAACGCAGCGAAAUGCGAUAAGUAAUGUGAAUUGCAGAAUUCAGUGAAUCAUCGAAUCUUUGAACGCACAUUGCGCCCCUUGGUAUUCCGGGGGGCAUGCCUGUUCGAGCGUCAUUACAACCCUCAAGCUCUGCUUGGAAUUGGGCACCGUCCUCACUGCGGACGCGCCUCAAAGACCUCGGCGGUGGCUGUUCAGCCCUCAAGCGUAGUAGAAUACACCUCGCUUUGGAGUGGUUGGCGUCGCCCGCCGGACGAACCUUCUGAACUUUUCUCAAGGUUGACCUCGGAUCAGGUAGGGAUACCCGCUGAACUUAAGCAUAUCA